GAUGAACGCUGGCGGCGUGCCUAAUACAUGCAAGUCGAGCGAACAGACGAGGAGCUUGCUCCUCUGACGUUAGCGGCGGACGGGUGAGUAACACGUGGAUAACCUACCUAUAAGACUGGGAUAACUUCGGGAAACCGGAGCUAAUACCGGAUAAUAUAUUGAACCGCAUGGUUCAAUAGUGAAAGACGGUUUUGCUGUCACUUAUAGAUGGAUCCGCGCUGCAUUAGCUAGUUGGUAAAGUAACGGCUUACCAAGGCGACGAUGCGUAGCCGACCUGAGAGGGUGAUCGGCCACACUGGAACUGAGACACGGUCCAGACUCCUACGGGAGGCAGCAGUAGGGAAUCUUCCGCAAUGGGCGAAAGCCUGACGGAGCAACGCCGCGUGAGUGAUGAAGGUCUUCGGAUCGUAAAACUCUGUUAUUAGGGAAGAACAAAUGUGUAAGUAACCAUGCACGUCUUGACGGUACCUAAUCAGAAAGCCACGGCUAACUACGUG
This 497-nucleotide ribosomal RNA is filed under the name uncultured bacterium. RNAcentral describes it as "partial 16S ribosomal RNA". It matches the Rfam family "Bacterial small subunit ribosomal RNA", at positions 28 to 507 of the family's 1533-position model. The record is from RNAcentral.